ACCCGGUCUAGUUAGCACUUUAUACUGUGAACUGCGAAUGGCUCAUUAAAUCAGUUAUCGUUUAUUUGAUAGUACCUUACUACAUGGAUACCUGUGGUAAUUCUAGAGCUAAUACAUGCUAAAAACCUCGACUUCGGAAGGGGUGUAUUUAUUAGAUAAAAAACCAAUGCCCUUCGGGGCUCCUUGGUGAUUCAUAAUAACUUAACGAAUCGCAUGGCCUUGCGCCGGCGAUGGUUCAUUCAAAUUUCUGCCCUAUCAACUUUCGAUGGUAGGAUAGUGGCCUACCAUGGUGGCAACGGGUAACGGGGAAUUAGGGUUCGAUUCCGGAGAGGGAGCCUGAGAAACGGCUACCACAUCCAAGGAAGGCAGCAGGCGCGCAAAUUACCCAAUCCCGACACGGGGAGGUAGUGACAAUAAAUACUGAUACGGGGCUCUUUUGGGUCUCGUAAUUGGAAUGAGUACAAUCUAAAUCCCUUAACGAGGAACAAUUGGAGGGCAAGUCUGGUGCCAGCAGCCGCGGUAAUUCCAGCUCCAAUAGCGUAUAUUAAAGUUGUUGCAGUUAAAAAGCUCGUAGUUGAACCUUGGGUCUGGCUGGCCGGUCCGCCUCACCGCGAGUACUGGUCCGGCUGGACCUUUCCUUCUGGGGAACCUCAUGGCGUUCACUGGCUGUGGGGGGGAACCAGGACUUUUACUGUGAAAAAUUAGAGUGGUCAAAGGAGGGCUGUUGCUCGAAAUACAUUAACCAUGGAAUAAA
Molecule: ribosomal RNA, 754 nt
Filed under: Aspergillus oryzae
Lineage: Eukaryota; Fungi; Ascomycota; Eurotiomycetes; Eurotiales; Aspergillaceae
Description: SSU rRNA
Rfam family: Eukaryotic small subunit ribosomal RNA
Source: RNAcentral